RNAcentral lists this small nuclear RNA (23 nucleotides) under Arabidopsis thaliana (thale cress). RNAcentral describes it as "snRNA_10370". The record is from RNAcentral. Lineage: Eukaryota; Viridiplantae; Streptophyta; Magnoliopsida; Brassicales; Brassicaceae.
UUUGUUUUUCGGUUGUAGAGAGA